UGAGAACUGAAUUCCAUGGGUU
Molecule: microRNA, 22 nt
Filed under: Alligator mississippiensis (American alligator)
Lineage: Eukaryota; Metazoa; Chordata; Crocodylia; Alligatoridae
Also listed under: 21 other names
Description: Ami-Mir-146-P4_5p (mature (guide))
Source: RNAcentral